GUCUACGGCCAUACCACCCUGAACGCACCCCAAUCUUGUCUGAUCUCGGAAGCUAAGCAGGGUCGGGCUUGGUUAGUACUUGGAUGGGAGAAAAGUCUGUUAAUGAACCGGCAGGGGAGGUUCUCUCUGUUGCUU
This 135-nucleotide ribosomal RNA is filed under the name Propithecus coquereli (Coquerel's sifaka). The record is from RNAcentral. Lineage: Eukaryota; Metazoa; Chordata; Mammalia; Primates; Indriidae.